This is a long non-coding RNA of Oncorhynchus tshawytscha (Chinook salmon), 375 nucleotides long. Lineage: Eukaryota; Metazoa; Chordata; Actinopteri; Salmoniformes; Salmonidae. The record is from Ensembl.
UACCGGGAUAUAGGUUAAUGAAUAUGGCCUAGGGAAGAUGAGUGGGCUGUCCUGGGGGGCUGUACCGGGAUAUAGGUUAAUGAAUAUAGACUAGGGGAGAUGAGUGGGCUGUCCUGGGGGGCUGUACCGGGAUAUAGGUUAGUGAAUAUAGACUAGUGGAGAUGAGGGGGCUGUCCUGGGGGGCUGUACCGGGAUAUAGGUUAAUGAAUAUAGACUAGUGGAGAUGAGGGGGCUGUCCUGGGGGGCUGUACCGGGAUAUAGUUUAAUGAAUAUAGACUAGUGGAUAUAGGUUAAUGAACAUAGACUAGUGGAUAUAGGUUAAUGAAUAAAGAGUAGUGGAUAUAGGUUAAUGAAUAUAGACUAGUGGAUAUAAGU